This 464-nucleotide ribosomal RNA is filed under the name Vreelandella stevensii. Its description in RNAcentral is "partial 16S ribosomal RNA". It matches the Rfam family "Bacterial small subunit ribosomal RNA", at positions 338 to 795 of the family's 1533-position model. Lineage: Bacteria; Pseudomonadati; Pseudomonadota; Gammaproteobacteria; Oceanospirillales; Halomonadaceae. The record is from RNAcentral.
CCUACGGGGGGCUGCAGUGGGGAAUAUUGGACAAUGGGCGAAAGCCUGAUCCAGCCAUGCCGCGUGUGUGAAGAAGGCCUUCGGGUUGUAAAGCACUUUCAGUGGGGAAGAAAGCCUUGGGGCUAAUACCCUCGAGGAAGGACAUCACCCACAGAAGAAGCACCGGCUAACUCCGUGCCAGCAGCCGCGGUAAUACGGAGGGUGCGAGCGUUAAUCGGAAUUACUGGGCGUAAAGCGCGCGUAGGCGGUCUGAUAAGCCGGUUGUGAAAGCCCCGGGCUCAACCUGGGAACGGCAUCCGGAACUGUCAGGCUAGAGUGCAGGAGAGGAAGGUAGAAUUCCCGGUGUAGCGGUGAAAUGCGUAGAGAUCGGGAGGAAUACCAGUGGCGAAGGCGGCCUUCUGGACUGACACUGACGCUGAGGUGCGAAAGCGUGGGUAGCAAACAGGAUAGAUACCCGAGUAGUC